AUUAAAUGAUGAGAAGUUUUGUUAUUAGUUUAGAAAAAGAAGCAAGUGGUUAAAAAUGUAUUAGAUUAAGUAUUCAAAAUAUGAUCACAAAGUAAAAUAUGUAUGCUCUAUGUUUUUCUACCAUUUAUUAAUUAAUAAAAUAGCACUUAAGGUGGCUCGGGCCUAUUCGAAGUUUCUAUCAGAAGUGCCGUAUUUUUUGUUAUUUUAUUUUUUACAGAAAGUGAUUCAAAUUGGUUGAAACAAAA
Molecule: long non-coding RNA, 245 nt
Filed under: Mytilus galloprovincialis (Mediterranean mussel)
Lineage: Eukaryota; Metazoa; Mollusca; Bivalvia; Mytilida; Mytilidae
Source: RNAcentral